RNAcentral lists this small RNA (291 nucleotides) under uncultured Bacteroides sp. Its description in RNAcentral is "5' ureB small RNA". It matches the Rfam family "5' ureB small RNA". The record is from RNAcentral. Lineage: Bacteria; Pseudomonadati; Bacteroidota; Bacteroidia; Bacteroidales; Bacteroidaceae.
GGCUUGUUGAGGAGCAAUCAUGUGCACAUGCCCAUCAAUACCUGCGGCUGUCAAAAUGAGAUGUUCUCCAGAGAUGGCAUCAGUUGACGCACCGGUUACCAAGUCAGGGUCUACUCCAGCCAUUACAUUAGGGUUACCUGCCUUUCCUAUACCUGCAAUCUUUCCAUCCUUUAUACCAACAUCUGCUUUAAUUACACCAAGCUUAGCAUCAAUAAUUGUAACAUUGGUAAUAACCAAAUCGAGUGAUCCAUCUUUAGAUGUAGUUGUAUUAGCCAAGCCCAUUCCAUCUCU